UCCGCCCAGGGUUAGUCGGGUCCUAAGACGAGGCCGAGAGGCGUAGCCGAUGGACAACAGGUUGAUAUUCCUGUACUACCUAUAAGACUGAUGGAGUGACGGAGAAGGUUAGGAAAAGCCAGUUAUUGGAUUCUGGUCUAAGCACAAAGGCUUAUAAAUUAGGAAAUCUGUUUAUAAUUAAGCUGAAGUGUGAUGGUGAAGUCGCUUGCGACGAAAUUUUCUGACACCAUGCUUCCAAGAAAAGCUUCUAGGGUUAAUCUUAUAGGUACCCGUACUCAGAACCGACACAGGUGGUCAAGGAGAGUAUCCUAAGGUGAGCGAGAGAACUAUGGUUAAGGAACUCGGCAAAAUAACCCCGUAACUUCGGGAGAAGGGGUGGUCACUAGAUGACCGACACUAAAGACGCCCAGGCAACUGUUUACCAAAAACACAGGUCUCUGCUAAGUCGUAAGACGAUGUAUAGGGGCUGACACCUGCCCAGUGCUGGAAGGUUAAGAGGAGUGCUUAGAUAGACGCAAGUCGAUUAUUCGAAGGUACGAAUUGAAGCCCCAGUGAACGGCGGCCGUAACUAUAACGGUCCUAAGGUAGCGAAAUUCCUUGUCAGGUAAGUUCUGACCCGCACGAAAGGUGUAAUGAUCUGGGCACUGUCUCAACCAUAGACUCGGUGAAAUCUUAAUACCUGUGAAAAUGCAGGUUACCCGCAACAGGACGGAAAGACCCCAUGGAGCUUUACUGUAGCUUGAUAUUGAAGUUCGGUAUAUUAUGUAGAGAAUAGGUGGGAGACUAUGAAGUUAGGACGCUAGUUCUAAUGGAGUCACCUUUGGAAUACCACCCUUAAUGUAUUGAAUUUCUAACCUCGAUUCAUUAUCUGGAUCAGGGACAGUGUCUGGUGGGCAGUUUGACUGGGGCGGUCGCCUCCCAAAAAGUAACGGAGGCGCCCAAAGGUUCCCUCAGAAUGGUUGGACAUCAUUCAAAGAGCGUAAAGGUAUAAGGGAGCUUGACUGCGAGACCAACAAGUCGAGCAGAUACGAAAGUAGGGCUUAGUGAUCAGACGAUUCAGAAUGGAAUGGUCGUCGCUUAACGGAUAAAAGUUACCCUGGGGAUAACAGGCUGAUACCACCCAAUAGUUCACAUAGACGGUGGUGUUUGGCACCUCGAUGUCGGCUCGUCGUAUCCUGGAGGUGAAGUCGCUUCCAAGGGUUGGGCUGUUCGCCCAUUAAAACGGCACGCGAGCUGGGUUCAGAACGUCGUGAGACAGUUCGGUCCCUAUCCGUUGUGGGCGUAGGAAAAUUGAAGAGAGCUAUCCUUAGUACGAGAGGACCGGGAUGGACAUACCUCUGGUGUAUCUGUUGUAGCGCCAGCUGCAGUGCAGAGUAGCUAUGUAUGGAAAGGAUAACCGCUGAAAGCAUCUAAGCGGGAAGCCUCCUUUGAGAUGAGUUUUCCCAUAUUUUAUAUAGUAAGAUCCCUUGAAGACUACAAGGUUGAUAGGCUGGAGAUGGAAGAAUGGCGACAUUUUGAGUUGACCAGUACUAAUAGAUCGAGGAUUUAAUCC
This 1552-nucleotide ribosomal RNA is filed under the name human gut metagenome. RNAcentral's name for it is "bacterial LSU rRNA". It matches the Rfam family "Bacterial large subunit ribosomal RNA", at positions 1369 to 2925 of the family's 2925-position model. The record is from RNAcentral.